This 734-nucleotide long non-coding RNA is filed under the name Papio anubis (olive baboon). Its description in RNAcentral is "lncRNA (ENSPANG00000050995.1)". The record is from RNAcentral. Lineage: Eukaryota; Metazoa; Chordata; Mammalia; Primates; Cercopithecidae.
GGCAGUUACAACAGACCUAUUUGUAAAAGUGGGCACGAAUUGCACUUACAGGUUUUGUAUUAACCUGUAUUUUCUCAAAUUGAUAAAAGCUCUGUCUUUGAAGUCUGAACUUUGAAUAAUGUGAGCAGAGGCUGCAGAUUUUUAUGGCAUGUGUAUUAGUCCUGAUCUAAGGCACAGACCAAUCUAGCAUGGACUGAUGUGGAAUUGUAUGAGGACAGCAUCUGAAUACAGAAGACAAUUAUGUAUUGCAUACAAUUCGAAUGAUGACAGAAAAAGAAACCUCAGUCGCUUUACUUUUUUUAAGGCCGCCAAAGAUGUAGACUUUUGCCAAUGUCAUUGUGGGGUAAUAUUGACAACAGAAGACUCAGACUCAUCAGCUGUGUAUAUUUUUUGCUAUAGACAUUUGAUUUUCAAUGUCAUUGUUUAAUAAAAUAUGCAUAAGUCAUCACAAAGUAUUGCUUUAUUUCUUCUCAGAUGCCUCUUAUUUUCUAAAGCUGCAAGUUAAAAGAAACCUUCCAUAUGUUUUUAGGGUUAUAGAGUUGAACCGAUGGGCCUCAAGUGAAAGGAAGAUCACGAAAGUUGUGCCUAGAAAAGUUAUUCGUCAACGAGCACAGUUUGGAUGGAAGUGGCUGAUGAGGCCUGCCUUAGAAGAACUCCUGAAGGAAGCACUAAACUGGAAAGGAACAACUGGUACCUACCACUGCAAAAAUAUGCCAAAUCAUAAAGAUCAUUGA